GACAGAGGUGCCGAGCGUUAGGCGGAAUCACUGGGCUUAAAGCGUGUGUAGGCGGGUCGUUAAGUGUCUUGUGAAAUCCCACCGCUCAACGGUGGAACUGCUGGGCAUACUGGCGAUCUUGAGCCACCUAGGGGCGAGCGGAACAAGCGGUGGAGCGGUGAAAUGCGUAGAUAUCGCUUGGAACGCCGACGGUGAAAACAGCUCGCUGGGGGUGUGCUGACGCUGAGACACGAAAGCCAGGGGAGCGAACGGG
This 253-nucleotide ribosomal RNA is filed under the name uncultured bacterium. Its description in RNAcentral is "partial 16S ribosomal RNA". It matches the Rfam family "Bacterial small subunit ribosomal RNA", at positions 524 to 776 of the family's 1533-position model. The record is from RNAcentral.